Molecule: unclassified non-coding RNA, 400 nt
Filed under: soil metagenome
Description: partial contains 5.8S ribosomal RNA, internal transcribed spacer 2, and large subunit ribosomal RNA
Rfam family: 5.8S ribosomal RNA (bases 1-122)
Source: RNAcentral
GAUGAAGAACGCAGCGAAAUGCGAUACUUGGUGUGAAUUGCAGAAUCCCGUGAACCAUCGAGUCUUUGAACGCAAGUUGCGCCUCAAGCCAUUAGGUUGAGUGCACGUCUGCCUGGGCGUCACAUAUCGUUGCCUGAUGCCAGUUUCCUCGUGAUGGGUGACUGUGCAGGGCGAAUGAUGGCUUCCCGUGAGCAUUGUUGCCUCAUGGUUGGUUGAAAAUUGAGUCCUUGGUAGGGAGCGCCGUGAUAGAUGGUGGUUGAGUGACGAACGAGACCCAAUCAUGUGAGACCCCUACCGAAUUUGGCCUUCAUGACCCACAUGCGUCUUUGGAACGCUCAAGACGAGACCUCAGGUCAGGCGGGGCUACCCGCUGAGUUUAAGCAUAUCAAUAAGCGGAGGA